Misgurnus anguillicaudatus (oriental weatherfish) is the source of this 452-nucleotide non-coding RNA. NCBI's taxonomy places the organism in Eukaryota, Metazoa, Chordata, Actinopteri, Cypriniformes, Cobitidae. The record is from RefSeq and is a predicted model, not a curated record.
AUGCAGUCCUAAUGAUCCUAAGGCGAAAGCAAAUAAAGACAAACCACCUGACUUCAGUGGCCCAGUCUCUUCAGGGAAGCAGCCACUUGUUUCCACAAAUGCGGAUGGUGACUUUCCUCCAACCUUUACUGAAAAUCUAGACAGGCUGGAGACAAAGGUGAACAAAUAAUCCAUCAGUAGUGGACCAAACAUGAAGAAAACAACAUGGAAAAUCUGUCCAGAUGUUUGAAGAAGCAAAAUGCACCUUCAGCUAUACAGAAUCUCGUCCUUCUGUCUUCUGCAGCAGACGCGGAAAAAUCAGUUCAAGAUUUCUUACUUGGCCUCAGAAAGUGGUUGAUUUUAAAUAUGUUGUGGCUUUGUUGUUUAUUGUGGAUAUGUUGGAUUUACCGUAUAUAUGCUUAUUUGUAAAGUGUAUUAUAUUUUGUGUUAUGUGUUUAUAUGUUUUACAUACU